Long non-coding RNA from Teleopsis dalmanni, 2273 nucleotides. RefSeq lists it as uncharacterized. The record is from RefSeq and is a predicted model, not a curated record. The transcript has 5 exons. NCBI's taxonomy places the organism in Eukaryota, Metazoa, Arthropoda, Insecta, Diptera, Diopsidae.
GAGUGAUAACAAAAAACGCCAUUCACCGUGGACGGUUGAGAAGUAGAGUGUGUUGUUAGAGCAUCAUAAGUCAAUACGGUGGUCCAUUUCAUAUGUUCACAGAAAGAAAGUCAGAACAUUCUGGAAUAAUGGCGACAUUUAUUGGUGUUAAAAUUAAUAAUAAAUUGAAUCAAUUCUAAUAUUGUAUUUUUAUUGGCUUUAUCAUACUUCAUUGUACUUAUGUCGACGUUACAAUAUCAAUGAGCAAAAAAAGAAGACAGUUUCCAGCGUAACAGAAUGUAAGAAUAUUGCGAAGAACAUUUCAAGAAUGUACUAGGUCAUUUCCACCAGCUACUUAUAGUAAAACUCGAGUAAAACACAAAUUUUCAUGGAACAGCUUUGUGUGAAAUCUAAUAAGAACAGCUGUUUUUUGAAAAAGAAAACAGUAGAAGUAAAAGUUGAAAAAUAACAAGUAAAAUAUAUUUUAUUUUAAUAAAACGAUAUGGAGGGAAAUGGAAGAAAAAUUGUUUCGUGUUUACCAAAAACGUCUCUGCAAUGGCAAAACGGAAAGAAAUUGUAUUUACAUAUUGCAAAUUGCAAUUAUUUAACGAAUUAUAUGAUGAAUUAGUAUUCAGUGUCCAGGAAAAUAUAGAAGCACAUACACAUACACAUGGACACACAAUUCCACCAAAGACUUGUUAUCUUUAAUAUCCAUGAGCAUAAAAAUGGUUGGAAAAUACCGUAAGUUGAGGAGUAAAGCCUUGAUAUGGAAAUUUAUUUUCACAUGAAUGAGCGAAGUAGGCUACUCCUUUAAUCCAACUCAAGUGAAAUCGAAAUUCAGAACUAUGGAGCGGCAAUACAAAAAAUCUAAGUUAAGCAACAGCCAAACUGCAAGAAAUCGAAUGGUUUCCUCUUACCAAAGGCAGGAGGUUCUAGAUAUCACCGUGACUACUGCACAAAAUUCAUGGGUCUAUCAAAAAAUGGAAAAUGUCCACUAGGCACUCUUUUUUAGACUUUAUGAUUUUAGAAUCUUCUUAUAGUCUUAACAUAAAGGUAUCAAAUAUCCCCAGUUUAGAAACUUUCAGAAAUAUCAAGAAUACAAACUGGUCAAAGUACGAAUCAUCUGUAAAUGAGCUGUUGACAAAUACAGCUCUUUACCCCCAGAGAAUAUAAAUGAUCUGGAUAAGCAGGUGUGAGAUCUUACCUCAAUACUUAAUGAAGCUUUUAACCUUGCCUGUCCUUCUACUCGAUCUAGUAGGUAGUGUAACCCACCUUGGUGGAAUAGAAGCUUAGAACACUUGAGGAAAGAAUGCAGGAGAAUUUUUAAUAGGGCACUGAGACUGACUGAUCCGAAUACAACAUCUCUCUGCAGAAAAGAAUUACAUAAGUCUAAGAGGACUAGUUGGCAAUCAUAUUGUCAAGAGAUUAGCAGAGAUUUUGAAACCUCUACACUACGCAAAAUCCUAUCUAAAAAUCCACUGUUUAUCUAAGGAAACCGGAAGGAACUUGGUCAAACCCUCAGAAUGUUUAAACUACAUAUCGGUAAACUCCAAGUUAAACCUACAAACUCUGAAAUGGGCAAUUUUUAGCUUUAGGCCCUACAAAUCACCGGGACCGGAUGGUAUACAUCCUAUUGAGCUUUAGAAGUCUUGUGAACAAAUACACAACCGGCUUCUGGCCAUUUUUAAAUACUGUCUCAUUUUUAAUCAUGUUCCAACUCACUGAAGAAUGGUUAGAUUUGUUUCUAUCUCUAAGGCGGGUAAAACCUCUCAUAGUAACCCAAAUGAACUCCGUCCAAUUAGCCUUUCAUCUUUCAUGCUGAAAGCUCUAGAAAGAAUUAUAGACUAUAAAUCCCAAUCUUUGGUCUCCGACACAAAACGCCUACACUAAGGGUAAAUCUACGAAGACAGCACUCCAUGCCCUCACUUUUACUACUAAAAAAUUUUUCAACUUUAAGGAGCUUUUAACGAAAUUUUUCCCGGUGUAAUAGCAAGCGCACUCUCUCGUCCGGGUGAUGAGGAUGCUUUCAUCAGCUUUAUCGGCCAGUUAUUAACUGGCAGAAAAAUUGAAGCAUAAAGGGGUGUAUCAGCAGCACACAGACGGGAAAAUAGAGGUACCCCCAAGGAGGCGUACUCUCACCCCUUCUCUUGAAUAUAGUGGUGAAUGAACUGCUGAGGAGAGCGGGCUACGGGACAGUUGCAUAUGCGGAUGAAAUUGCGUUAACAGUUACUGAGAAAUAUGCUACCACUUUAAGGGAUAUUUUGCGAUAUGGCCAAUAUAUGCUUAACAAUUGG